GCUGGUGUAGCUCAACGGUAGAGCAGCGCAUUCGUAAUGCGCAGGUUAGCGGUUCGAAUCCGCUCACCAGCU
RNAcentral lists this transfer RNA (72 nucleotides) under bacterium. Its description in RNAcentral is "tRNA-Thr". It matches the Rfam family "tRNA". From Rfam's summary of the family: Transfer RNA (tRNA) molecules are approximately 80 nucleotides in length. Their secondary structure includes four short double-helical elements and three loops (D, anti-codon, and T loops). RNAcentral also lists the same sequence under 1 other name. The record is from RNAcentral.